GCUCGUAUGGCUUAGUUGGUAAAGCGCAUGACUAGUAUCAUAAUCGAUUAAAUCAUGAGAUCCUCGGUUCGAAUCCGAGUACGAGCA
Molecule: transfer RNA, 87 nt
Organism: Talaromyces islandicus
Lineage: Eukaryota; Fungi; Ascomycota; Eurotiomycetes; Eurotiales; Trichocomaceae
Rfam family: tRNA
About the family: Transfer RNA (tRNA) molecules are approximately 80 nucleotides in length. Their secondary structure includes four short double-helical elements and three loops (D, anti-codon, and T loops).
Source: Rfam